AAAAUAAAUAAAUAAAUAAAUAAGGCAAAAUGCCAAUUUUGGCCCUUAAAUUAUUGGCCAAAAGUCAAAUAAACCCUUAAACUUUUUUUAGGUCCAAAGAAGCCCCUUAACUAUUUAAAAUGACAUUAUUAACUCCAAUGUUAACAGAGUUACACGAUGUUUACUUCACCUACCAAAAACUUUCAGUUUCUUCAAAUAUGGUGCUCAUCCCAUUUCUGUCAGAACUGUUAUUUUAUUCCAUCUCUGUUUUAAAUGCAUCCCUCACUUGAGCAAAUAUGAAUCCUAGGUGAGUUUCUAUGGCAGUUUCAGUAUUCCCAGCAACUUCAUCAUCUUCAAUGCCAAACCAUCAACAGGAUCACUCAAAUAUAAUGGAUAUUCAAAUGUGAUUUUACCAUUCCGGACUCUGUACUUCCAAAUUGAUUCUGAAGGCUUCCCAUAACAAAUUUCUUGCUAAGAAGACAUCCCAAAGCCAGUUGGUUCAAAUACUUUGUAUGGAAAUGCGAAAAAACAUGCAAUGGUUUGAUUUAAUUAUCAAAGGAAUAUCUAAACCUCGCAUGGAUAUUCCCAGCGGAGGAAGAAAAUCUCUAUUCUAUCAUGCUAAAAUUUUUAUAAUGUAGAAAAUUUUAGCAGAAAAAAAAAAAAAAGAUUUGAUGAAAUUAUCAACAAAAUGACAAAAUCUCACCUUGAGCCUAACCUGGGCAUCUCUAUUCUCAUCUAGGAACUUGACACUC
Molecule: unclassified non-coding RNA, 731 nt
Filed under: Hevea brasiliensis (rubber tree)
Lineage: Eukaryota; Viridiplantae; Streptophyta; Magnoliopsida; Malpighiales; Euphorbiaceae
Source: RNAcentral